RNAcentral lists this long non-coding RNA (1022 nucleotides) under Mytilus galloprovincialis (Mediterranean mussel). The record is from RNAcentral. Lineage: Eukaryota; Metazoa; Mollusca; Bivalvia; Mytilida; Mytilidae.
GUACCAUUUAAAUAUACAUGAAAAAUUACAAUGAAGGCUUCAAAACGUUAUCUUAUCUUCAGGAGAUAGUUGACAAAAAAGGUCUGACGAUACAAAACGGACAUUCAAAACUAACAAGUAGUUUAAAAAAAAUGCGAAUAAUCGAAUAUCUUUGCAAUCUUUUCUAUUACGUGAGAAUUUAGCGACAAAAAUCUUUUAAAUCAAUGACUGCAAAAAAAGCAAGAACAGACAUAUAAUUGUAGCUCCACGAUCUUCUGUUGCAGAAUAUUUGGUACGUAAAUUCAUUAUAGUAUUUGUCUUGUUUAUCGCAAUAAGUUUCUGUAAUUUAUUUAAAACAGGUUUCAGUAUCUCCUCUAAUUGUGCCAAAGACAAAUGUAGAUUACAUAAAUAUCCCCAUUUGUUUGGUCCAACUAGAGAGCAAGGACAGCGGCAUGACAAAGGGUCAAUAUUAGUACCAGGCGUAGUCGGAUCAAUGUUAGCUGAUGUCUCUUGUGUUGUAAUUUCUGUAAACGCCAAGAACAAGACAUAUAAUUGUAGCUCCAACAUAGCCAAUAGAAACGGCGGAAAAACGAUCGUCUGCUGCAGAAUAUUUGGUACGCAAAUUCAUUGUAGUGUUUGUCUUGUUUAUCGCAAUAAGUUUCUGCAAUAUAUCUAAAUCAGGUUUCAAUAUCUCCUCUAAUUUUGCCAAAGACAAAUGUAGAUUACGUAAAUAUCCCCAUUUGUUUUGGUCCUACUACAGAGCAAGGACAGCGGCAUGUCAAAGGGUCAAAAUCAGUACCAGGCGUUGUAUGAUUAAUUUUAGCUGUUGUCUUAUCUGUGGUCAUUUCUAAAAUAUAAAAUGUAUGCCUCCUCCUCUGGACAAAUAGUUAAAAAGCAAUCGAAGUUAAGUGCAAUUAUAUCGAUUUCAUAGUUGAGAAAUAUUUGUUUCUAUAUUUAUAUUUUAACUAUCAAAGAUAAUUGUGAACGGUUUGGUAUUAUUUGUUGUAGUGUUUUAUACAUCAAAUUGUUUUUCAAGUCCUUCC